This 84-nucleotide transfer RNA is filed under the name Caulobacter sp. 17J65-9. Its description in RNAcentral is "tRNA-Leu". It matches the Rfam family "tRNA". From Rfam's summary of the family: Transfer RNA (tRNA) molecules are approximately 80 nucleotides in length. Their secondary structure includes four short double-helical elements and three loops (D, anti-codon, and T loops). Further hydrogen bonds mediate the characteristic L-shaped molecular structure. tRNAs have two regions of fundamental functional importance: the anti-codon, which is responsible for specific mRNA codon recognition, and the 3' end, to which the tRNAs corresponding amino acid is attached (by aminoacyl-tRNA synthetases). tRNAs cope with the degeneracy of the genetic code in two manners: having more than one tRNA (with a specific anti-codon) for a particular amino acid; and 'wobble' base-pairing, i.e. permitting non-standard base-pairing at the 3rd anti-codon position. RNAcentral also lists the same sequence under 1 other name. The record is from RNAcentral. Lineage: Bacteria; Pseudomonadati; Pseudomonadota; Alphaproteobacteria; Caulobacterales; Caulobacteraceae.
GCCCCGGUGGCGAAAUGGUAGACGCGGGAGACUCAAAAUCUCUUGCCGCAAGGCGUGCUGGUUCGAGUCCGGCCCGGGGCACCA